GAUGAACGCUGGCGGCGUGCCUAAUACAUGCAAGUCGAGCGAACAGAUAAGGAGCUUGCUCCUUUGACGUUAGCGGCGGACGGGUGAGCAACACGUGGGUAACCUACCUAUAAGACUGGGAUAACUUCGGGAAACCGGAGCUAAUACCGGAUAACAUUUGGAACCGCAUGGUUCUAAAGUGAAAGAUGGUUUUGCUAUCACUUAUAGAUGGACCCGCGCCGUAUUAGCUAGUUGGUAAGGUAACGGCUUACCAAGGCAACGAUACGUAGCCGACCUGAGAGGGUGAUCGGCCACACUGGAACUGAGACACGGUCCAGACUCCUACGGGAGGCAGCAGUAGGGAAUCUUCCGCAAUGGGCGAAAGCCUGACGGAGCAACGCCGCGUGAGUGAUGAAGGGUUUCGGCUCGUAAAACUCUGUUAUUAGGGAAGAACAAACGUGUAAGUAACUGUGCACGUCUUGACGGUACCUAAUCAGAAAGCCACGGCUAACUACGUG
RNAcentral lists this ribosomal RNA (497 nucleotides) under uncultured bacterium. RNAcentral describes it as "partial 16S ribosomal RNA". It matches the Rfam family "Bacterial small subunit ribosomal RNA", at positions 28 to 507 of the family's 1533-position model. The record is from RNAcentral.